Molecule: ribosomal RNA, 282 nt
Filed under: uncultured bacterium
Lineage: Bacteria
Description: partial 16S ribosomal RNA
Rfam family: Bacterial small subunit ribosomal RNA
Source: RNAcentral
CGUCGUUCGGCCGGCCGGACCGGCGCACGGGUGAGUAACACGUAUGCAACCUGCCCGUGGCAGGGGGAUAAGCGGGGGAAACCCCGUCUAAUACCGCGUAACGCGGCCUAGGGACAUCCCAAGGCCGCCAAAGGGAGCAAUCCCGGCCACGGAUGGGCAUGCGGCGCAUUAGCUAGUCGGCGGGGUAACGGCCCACCGAGGCGACGAUGCGUAGGGGUUCUGAGAGGAAGGUCCCCCACAUUGGAACUGAGACACGGUCCAAACUCCUACGGGAGGCAGCAG